RNAcentral lists this ribosomal RNA (425 nucleotides) under uncultured bacterium. Its description in RNAcentral is "bacterial SSU rRNA". It matches the Rfam family "Bacterial small subunit ribosomal RNA", at positions 356 to 773 of the family's 1533-position model. The record is from RNAcentral.
GGGGAAUUUUGGACAAUGGGGGAAACCCUGAUCCAGCCAUCCCGCGUGUGCGAUGAAGGCCUUCGGGUUGUAAAGCACUUUUGGCAGGGAAGAAACGGCGCUGAAUAAUACUUGGCGCAACUGACGGUACCUGCAGAAUAAGCACCGGCUAACUACGUGCCAGCAGCCGCGGUAAUACGUAGGGUGCAAGCGUUAAUCGGAAUUACUGGGCGUAAAGCGUGCGCAGGCGGUUCGGAAAGAAAGAUGUGAAAUCCCAGAGCUUAACUUUGGAAUGGCAUUUUUAACUACCGGGCUAGAGUAUGUCAGAGGGGGGUAGAAUUCCACGUGUAGCAGUGAAAUGCGUAGAGAUGUGGAGGAAUACCGAUGGCGAAGGCAGCCCCCUGGGAUAAUACUGACGCUCAUGCACGAAAGCGUGGGGAGCAAAC